GUGGCCUGGCCGAGAGGGCGCCGAGUACCGCCCAGGGCUCAAUUGCUCCGGGAAAAAGAUACCGCGGCUGUCGCCGAGUCCUGGUCCGGAUAAUCUCGUACGUGCUAGCGCUUUCUACGCAGCCUCUAAUCCAGUUUGGCACUUCAUCUUCAAUGAAAAACCCCCACCCUCAUCCUGCCCCAGGUCUUGGACAGUGAUUGAGGGGCCUGUUGAGAGAAGACAGAUUGGACAAAGUUAAUCCCCUGGAGUGUGAAUGUGUUUCAGUAAAUGAAG
Herpailurus yagouaroundi (jaguarundi) is the source of this 273-nucleotide long non-coding RNA. RefSeq lists it as uncharacterized. The transcript is spliced from 3 exons. The record is from RefSeq and is a predicted model, not a curated record. NCBI's taxonomy places the organism in Eukaryota, Metazoa, Chordata, Mammalia, Carnivora, Felidae.